CUACAAACAGCAGGUCUCACGACCGACAUCGGCGGCUCCAACCUCGAGAAAGAUCUGAGGCCUGCGGGGGCCUGCUCGGAAGGCGGCAGAUCCCUUCGCCGACUGUGGCGCGCCUGCCUGGAGGCAUCUCAAAAAACUCUCAAGUCCUAGGCGCACACACCACAGAAUCCUGUGAACCCGGAACACCGGACUAUGUUGGGACCGAGGGCUGAGGGGCACAGCCAAUAACGAAUUGAACCCUCAGUCGUACCUGGACAGUAUCCAGCACCCUAUGGGCAUCGGCUGAACCUUCAUGGGCAUCCCACAGGCUUAACAGCUAAACCUCUCCUCGCGACAAUUGCUUGGCUCCUGGACUACCCCUACACUGCCUCGCAUUAUGCAAGUUAACACCAACUGGCAUUACUCUAUGCUCACUUACGAUUGCUGUACAAUAUUGAUAUGAU
This is a non-coding RNA of Pelobates cultripes (western spadefoot toad), 443 nucleotides long. Lineage: Eukaryota; Metazoa; Chordata; Amphibia; Anura; Pelobatidae. The record is from the annotation of a GenBank genome assembly.